GACGAACGCUGGCGGCGUGCCUAAUACAUGCAAGUUGAGCGAUGAAGAUUGGUUCUUGCACCAAUUUGAAGAGCAGCGAACGGGUGAGUAACGCGUGUGGAAUCUGCCUUUGAUCGGGGGACAACAUUUGGAAACGAAUGCUAAUACCGCAUAAUAACUUUAAACAUAAGUUUGAAGUUUGAAAGAUGCAAUUGCAUCACUCACAGAUGAUUCCGCGUUGUAUUAGCUAGUUGGUGAGGUAAAGGCUCACCAAGGCGGUGAUACAUAGCCGACCUGAGAGGGUGAUCGGCCACAUUGGGACUGAGACACGGCCCAAACUCCUACGGGAGGCAGCAGUAGGGAAUCUUCGGCAAUGGACGAAAGUCUGACCGAGCAACGCCGCGUGAGUGAAGAAGGUUUUCGGAUCGUAAAACUCUGUUGGUAGAGAAGAACGUUGGUGAGAGUGGAAAGCUCAUCAAGUGACGGUAACUACCCAGAAAGGGACGGCUAACUACGUG
RNAcentral lists this ribosomal RNA (497 nucleotides) under uncultured bacterium. RNAcentral's name for it is "partial 16S ribosomal RNA". It matches the Rfam family "Bacterial small subunit ribosomal RNA", at positions 28 to 507 of the family's 1533-position model. The record is from RNAcentral.